AUCAUCAGGUGAAGAGACAGUUUGGGCAGCAGCAACAAGACAACUAUUACAAGUAGAGAUGGGUUUCAAGAACUGGUACUAAUUUGGUUCCUGACUUGUUCGACACAACCACAUAUCAUGCAAAUCAUCUCCGAGUGGAUGGCAGCAAGGAUCCAGGAUCAAGAGAUCAUUCAUCAUGGAGACUGUUCCACAGGAAGCAGUUUAUCCUGGGCGAAAAACUAAACCUGGUUGUUUCAGCAUCACUCAGGCAAGACUAAAUACAUUUAAAUUGAUUUCAGUUGGUUAUGUGUUUCAGGUCAUCCUGACCAUUCUGCUGUUCUGGAUGUAAGGCCGUGCUGGAACUACAUUUCUCAUGGGUGAAAGAUUUGUGCAGCGGUAUCCAGACAUAUAACGCCCCAUUCACACGGGGAGUCAACGCCUCUCGUUUACUUUUAAAUGGAGUGAUGUCAAGCAUGAUUUGAGGGAAAGAUUAAAAACAAGGAGGUCUGGGAAUGACUGAAGGGAACUGACAGCAGUGAGGGAAGGAAGUUAUCACCAGAAUGUACAAGGAUGUUGACAGUGCAGGCCCAGGAUGAAGAAGAGGAGGAAGAACACAUUUAACAAUUUUCUCAUAAACUUUCCAUGUGUUAUAAUAAAAACAAUGAACAUGACUACAAUAAUAUGCUAAAUGUUAUUAAAAGAUUCCAGUUUGCAAGAAAUCUGAGUGUCUGACUCUACACUAGAGGAACUCUUUUCUGAAGAACAUCAGGUGCUGAGAAGAGCCUGUUUUCUGCUGCUAGGGUAAGAAACACACUCUUCCUCUUCUCUAUCGGCUGUCCAGCACCUAACUCUGCCUCCUCAGCACUGUCUGAAAGAGUCUUCUCCACAGUCAGUAAUCAGAGAUCACAGAUUCUUCUGAGAAAGUCAAUACGCUCAAAUAAUACAGGAAAGAUUCUAGAAAUCUCUAUAUUGUUCAUUUUUCAUAUCUUUACGCUUUAUGAAUGUUUUUCUUCUGAGAAGCUCAAAAAUUAUGGUUCUUUGGUAAUUGCUAUAUUGUUUAGGUUUAUCCUCUGAUAGUGAGCACAGAGCCCUGAUCAUGACAUGCAAGAAAAAUAAAAAAAAUUAUGACCAUGAUUUACUAAUUCGUUCCCUCGAUGUACUAAACCGUGCACGAUUACUUUUACAUUUCAUUGAUUUGCUUAAUCGUAUGCACAAUUUACUAAUUCAUUCUCUUGAUGUAUAAAUAGUGUACAUGAUUUAGCAAAUCGAGGGAAUGAAAUAGAAAAUCGUGCGCAUGAA
Long non-coding RNA from Carassius carassius (crucian carp), 1278 nucleotides. RefSeq lists it as uncharacterized. The transcript is spliced from 4 exons. The record is from RefSeq and is a predicted model, not a curated record. Lineage: Eukaryota; Metazoa; Chordata; Actinopteri; Cypriniformes; Cyprinidae.